This 200-nucleotide ribosomal RNA is filed under the name uncultured bacterium. RNAcentral's name for it is "partial 16S ribosomal RNA". It matches the Rfam family "Bacterial small subunit ribosomal RNA", at positions 8 to 204 of the family's 1533-position model. The record is from RNAcentral.
AGAGUUUGAUCAUGGCUCAGGACGAACGCUGGCGGCGUGCCUAAUACAUGCAAGUCGAGCGGACUUGUAGGAGCUUGCUCCUGCAAGUUAGCGGCGGACGGGUGAGUAACACGUGGGCAACCUGCCUGUAAGACUGGGAUAACUUCGGGAAACCGGAGCUAAUACCGGAUAAUCCUUUUCCUCACAUGAGGGAGAGUUGA